GAUGAACGCUGACAGAAUGCUUAACACAUGCAAGUCAACUUGAACUUCGGUUUGGGUGGCGGACGGGUGAGUAACGCGUAAAGAACUUGCCUCACAGUUAGGGACAACAUUUGGAAACGAAUGCUAAUACCUGUUAUUAUGAUUUUAGGGCAUCCUAGAAUUAUGAAAGCUAUAUGCGCUGUGAGAGAGCUUUGCGUCCCAUUAGCUAGUUGGAGAGGUAACGGCUCACCAAGGCGAUGAUGGGUAGCCGGCCUGGGAGGGUGAACGGCCACAAGGGGACUGAGACACGGCCCUUACUCCUACGGGAGGAAGAAGUGGGGAAUAUUGGACAAUGGACCAAGAGUCUGAUCCAGCAAUUCUGUGUGCAAGAUGGAGUUUUUCGGAAUGUAAAGUGCUUUCAGUUGGGAAGAAAAAAAUGACGAUACCAACAGAAGAAGUGUCGGCUAAAUACGUG
This 454-nucleotide ribosomal RNA is filed under the name uncultured bacterium. Its description in RNAcentral is "partial 16S ribosomal RNA". It matches the Rfam family "Bacterial small subunit ribosomal RNA", at positions 28 to 507 of the family's 1533-position model. The record is from RNAcentral.